RNAcentral lists this long non-coding RNA (2995 nucleotides) under Mytilus galloprovincialis (Mediterranean mussel). Lineage: Eukaryota; Metazoa; Mollusca; Bivalvia; Mytilida; Mytilidae. The record is from RNAcentral.
UCUGAUAAGAAAAGCCGGAGAAAUUAUGAACUGAUAUGUUGGUUAUAGGUAUGACAAAUAAUAUUUAUCUAAAAUCGAAAGAAUUGUUUAGAUACAGGAACUUUUAUAUCAGUCUUAACUUCUUAAAUCAAAUUAUAGAAAUAACAAUAAUUAUGUUAAUGACUUUCCAUAUUUCAGACAAAGAUAAACUAAAUGUAUAUAAAAUUUAGCAUGUAAGAACACCUUUAGAUUUCUGGAAGAUAUAUUAGUACGUCAAUGAAAGCUAAAUAUUUGACAAGCUAGAACAUCAGAAUAUUUAUAAUCAUACAUACGGGAUAGGUAUGUCAUCCCAAAUACAUGACUAACCUGGCUAUAAGAAGAUGUGGUAUGAUUACCAAGAUGACAGCUCUCUAACAGAGACCAAAUGGGUAGAGGUAAACAACUACAGGUCCGUACGGCCUUUAACAAUAAUUUAAACGCAUACCACAUAGUCAACUAUGAAAGGUCCCAAAAUUACAAACACAAAACAAUUCAAACGAGAAAUUUACGACCUGUAGAUUUAUGUACAAAACAAAAAUUGAAAAACAAAUAUGAUAUACAGCAACAAACGACAGCCAUUGAACUAUAUACUCAUGAGUUGGAACAGGCACAUACAUAAUAUGGCGGUGCUAAACAUGUGUGAAGGUGUCAACCCUCCCCAAUUUGCAAACAUAUCAAUACAUAUUUUAAUGUAUUUCAAUUAUGUAAAUCCAUGGAAUAUCCUUGAAAAUGAAAACGAUAAUAUAAUUGCAUUCGUUUUUCAGUUACUUUGCUGUUGAUAAGUGUGGUCAAUUCUGAGUUGUGCUCAGACGUCGACAACAUACUGUGUAAUUUGUUACUCCACAGGGUACCAGAUACUUGUACCGACUCAUGUCUGUCUAGGUUCUGUAAACGAUCAUGUGGGAACUGUGGUAUGUAUUAUAUAUACCAAAGACUGGUGCUGGGUCUGUAGAUCUUAUGUAAAUCCAAUGAUUUGUCUUACAUGAAUCUGUCUGAGACAUAGUUUAUGUUGUGUCAAAAAAUGCUGACAUUUAAGGCCGUGUUCACACCAAACGCCGUGUACAGUAAACAUGGGUUUAAUGUAAUGUACACUAGUUUCACAUUAAAUUUCUGUAUAUCUAGGGUAUGCUAGGAUUAUUACAGUGCGAUCACUUAAAAGGUAGGUCAUUAGUGGUUUUUCUUUUUGCGAUUUAUGAAUGGAAUGUGAUAAACUAUAUCUCGAGUGAACGUGAUUGAUAGUUUAGAUUAUUUUUACCGAUAACCGCUACGAAUUUCAACUGACGGCGACUAUAGUUUGUGAGUAACGCACGUUCAUGUCAGUGCAGAGCAUGUGCAUCAUUAAAACUAGCAAUUCAAGACUUUAAUUUUCGUUUAAAACAUUUACAAUUUAGUAUUACAGCACAACCCAUGUACAGUUUACAUAUAAUAAUAACCCCAAUUUCUUUAUUAAAUGACAGAUGUAGGACUUUUUGAUGAACUGAUUGAUUGGUGGUAUUUAACAUCACUGCAAGCACUCUUGAUUUAAUCGCGAUGAUGAGUGUUUAUUGGUGUAAAAGCUGGCGUGCCAGAAUACAUGUAGAACCACCAGGUCUGGGCAGGAAAAUUAUCUAACAAAGUCAAUUGUGACGCGCUGGUUCGAACUAAACAACUGUUUUCCUCUACUUAUACCAUGUAUACCGCGAGACCACGACAGUUUGUAUGAUAUGCAAACAAAUAACUAAAAAUACUAUAAAAUUUAUUUGUAGUUUUCUUCUUUUUUUUUAGGGUUCUGUUUACUGUUGUUUUUCUGUUCAACAGUAUAAUAGUCCUAGUAUGUACUAUGCAUUAUGACUUUUCCAAUAUUCAAAAUGUACAAUGUACUUAUAACAAUACUUUGACGAUUAUAAUGUAUUUGUCUGUUUUCUUUUGAAGCCCUGAAAUGUUAUGAUUGUACUGAUAUCAAUGAUCCGGGUAACUGUACUAGCUUUAAGACAUGUUCCAGCAAUGAUGAGGUAAUUAGUCACGUGUUAUCUUCUAACAUCAGAUAAGAUGAUGUUUCUUUUAUCUCUUCGUUGUGAUUAAAAAGAGAAGGAAUUCAAUGAGACAUCACCCCAACAAUAAAACAACGUUAUGACUUUAUGUUAUGUUAAGCAGGAUAGUAAAAUAGAGAAUCUUACUUAAAUAUGUUUUUUUUUUUAUUAUUUUCUUAUUUAUAUGUCUCAUGAUGCAUUCCUUUCAAUAAAAACAAUGCUUUACCACUAGUAAUUUUUGUUGUUUGGUAUGGGCCUAGGCUACGUGGUGAAGACCGUACAUUGACUUUUAAUGGUUUUCUUUUAUAAUUGUGACUUGGAUGGAGAGUUGUCUCAUUGGCACUCAUACCACAUCUUCCUAUAUCAAUUAAACCAGUUAAAAUACAUGAUUUUCGCUUAUUUUGAGAAAAAAAUUCGACACCAAUGAAGCACCUUCAUAUUUUGAAUGACACAAAACAUUUUCAACGUUCAAGUUAAAACUGAAUCUGCUAUUGAAAUUAUCAAAUGUCUUUUAUUUUCGUAGCUUAGUUAGUGGUUAACCUUUUGGUAGUAAGACAAAAAAAAUCAUUGCGUGUCAGUUUAAUUUUAUGAAAUUUUAACUUAAGAGGGAAAAAGAGAUGUUUGUUCAUGCACAUUACUAGUUUGACUCAACUACACAGUCGCGCUACCUCAACAAUGUUUUUGGUUUAUCUUUGUGUGUACGUUUAUUUUAUUUCGGAGGGUGUAUGUGAUAGGUUUGUUAUCUGCUCUUUGGUCGGGUUUUGUUCACGGGGAACAAAAAAUGUGAAUGAGUAUUUCCUUUUGUCCAAUCUUUUAAAGAUUUGUUAUAAAACAGUUUUUCUUAUGUUUCUCAUUAUAUUUAUAAUGAACAAUAAAACUUAAAAUUAUAUUACAGUACUGUUUCAGUGCCCAGUCAUUUACUUACGAUUUACAUCAGGCUUUUCGUCUCGGUUGCAGUACUAAAGAUG